AGAGUUUGAUCAUGGCUCAGAACGAACGCUGGCGGCAGGCCUAACAUAUGCAAGUCGAGCGCUACCUUCGGGUGGAGCGGCGGACGGGUUAGUAACGCGUGGGAAUAUACCCAGUUCUAAGGAAUAGCCACUGGAAACGGUGAGUAAUACCUUAUACGCCCUUCGGGGGAAAGAUUUAUCGGAAUUGGAUUAGCCCGCGUUAGAUUAGAUAGUUGGUGGGGUAAUGGCCUACCAAGUCUACGAUCUAUAGCUGGUUUGAGAGGAUGAUCAGCAACACUGAGACUGAGACACGGCCCAGACUCCUACGGGAGGCAGCAGUGGGGAAUCUUAGACAAUGGGCGAAAGCCUGAUCUAGCCAUGCCGCGUGAGUGAUGAAGGCCCUAGGGUCGUAAAGCUCUUUCAACUGUGAAGAUAAUGACGGUAGCAGUAGAAGAAACCCCGGGCUAACUCCGUGCCAGCAGCCGCGGUAAUACGGAGGGGGUUAGCGUUGUUCGGAAUUACUGGGCGUAAAGCGUACGUAGGCGGAUUAAUAAGUUAGAGGUGAAAUCCCAGGGGCUCAACCCUGGAACUGCCUUUAAAACUGUUAGUCUUGAGAUCGAGAGAGGUGAGUGGAAUUCCAAGUGUAGAGGUGAAAUUCGUAGAUAUUUGGAGGAACACCAGUGGCGAAGGCGGCUCACUGGCUCGAUACUGACGCUGAGGUACGAAAGUGUGGGGAGCAAACAGGAUUAGAUACCCUGGUAGUCCACACCGUAAACGAUGAAUGCCAGACGUCAGCAAGCAUGCUUGUUGGUGUCACACCUAACGGAUUAAGCAUUCCGCCUGGGGAGUACGGUCGCAAGAUUAAAACUCAAAGGAAUUGACGGGGGCCCGCACAAGCGGUGGAGCAUGUGGUUUAAUUCGACGCAACGCGCAGAACCUUACCAACCCUUGACAUACUUGUCGCGGAUUCCAGAGAUGGAUUCCUUCAGUUCGGCUGGACAAUGUACAGGUGCUGCAUGGCUGUCGUCAGCUCGUGUCGUGAGAUGUUCGGUUAAGUCCGGCAACGAGCGCAACCCACGUCCUUAGUUACCAGCAUUUAGUUGGGUACCCUAAGGAGACUGCCGGUGAUAAGCCGGAGGAAGGUGUGGACGACGUCAAGUCAUCAUGGCCCUUACGGGUUGGGCUACACACGUGCUACAAUGGCAUCUACAGUGAGUUAAUCUCCAAAAGAUGUCUCAGUUCGGAUUGGGGUCUGCAACUCGACCCCAUGAAGUUGGAAUCGCUAGUAAUCGCGGAACAGCAUGCCGCGGUGAAUACGUUCCCGGGCCUUGUACACACCGCCCGUCACACCAUGGGAAUUGGGUCUACCCGAAGGUGGUGCGCCAACUAUUUAUAGAGGCAGCCAACCACGGUAGGUUCAGUGACUGGGGUGAAGUCGUAAC
RNAcentral lists this ribosomal RNA (1421 nucleotides) under uncultured bacterium. RNAcentral's name for it is "16S ribosomal RNA". It matches the Rfam family "Bacterial small subunit ribosomal RNA". The record is from RNAcentral.